RNAcentral lists this ribosomal RNA (315 nucleotides) under uncultured eukaryote. RNAcentral describes it as "partial 18S ribosomal RNA". It matches the Rfam family "Eukaryotic small subunit ribosomal RNA", at positions 1470 to 1796 of the family's 1831-position model. The record is from RNAcentral.
CCCUUAGACGUUCUGGGCCGCACGCGCGCUACACUGACCAGUGCAACAAGCAUCCGUCCUUGGCCGACAGGCCCGGGCAAUCUUUGAACGCUGGUCGUGAUGGGGAUAGACUUUUGCAAUUUUUGGUCUUCAACGAGGAAUUCCUAGUAAACGUAAGUCAUCAACUUGCAUUGAUUACGUCCCUGCCCUUUGUACACACCGCCCGUCGCACCUACCGAUUGAAUGGUCCGGUGAAGCCUCCGGAUUGGCGCGCACCUCGGUGCCGCCGAGAAGUUGGCUAAACCUUACCAUUUAGAGGAAGGUGAAGUCGUANCA